AUUGAACGCUGGCGGCAGGCUUAACUCAUGCAAGUCGAGCGGUGUGAUGGUGCUUGCACUAUCACUUAGCGGCGGACGGGUGAGUAAUGCUUAGGAAUCUGCCUAUUAGUGGGGGACAACAUCUCGAAAGGGAUGCUAAUACCGCAUACGUCCUACGGGAGAAAGCAGGGGAUCUUUAUGACCUUGCGCUAAUAGAUGAGCCUAAGUCGGAUUAGCUAGUUGGUGGGGUAAAGGCCUACCAAGGCGACGAUCUGUAGCGGGUCUGAGAGGAUGAUCCGCCACACUGGGACUGAGACACGGCCCAGACUCCUACGGGAGGCAGCAGUGGGGAAUAUUGGACAAUGGGGGGAACCCUGAUCCAGCCAUGCCGCGUGUGUGAAGAAGGCCUUAUAGUUGUAAAGCACUUUAAGCGAGGAGGAGGCUCUUUUGGUUAAUACCCAAGAUGAGUGGACGUUACUCGCAGAAUAAGCACCGGCUAACUCUGUGCCAGCCGCCGCGGUAA
Molecule: ribosomal RNA, 502 nt
Filed under: uncultured bacterium
Lineage: Bacteria
Description: partial 16S ribosomal RNA
Rfam family: Bacterial small subunit ribosomal RNA
Source: RNAcentral